GUAGGGGUGCAAGCGUUGUUCGGAAUAUUGGGCGUAAAGCGCGUGUAGGUGGGCUAUGCAAGUCGGGGUGUGAAAUCCCUCGGCUCAACCGAGGAAGUGCAUCCGAAACUACAUAGCUAGAGGACGGUAGAGGGAGGUGGAAUUCCUAGUGUAGAGGUGAAAUUCGUAGAUAUUAGGAGGAACAUCUGUGGCGAAGGCGGCCUCCUGGGCCGUUCCUGACACUGAGACGCGAAAGCGUGGGUAGCAAACAGGAUUAGAUACCCUGGUAGUCCACGCCGUAAACGAUGAGUACUAGAUGUUGUGGGUAUUGACCCCUACAGUGUCGCCGCUAACGCAUUAAGUACUCCGCCUGGGAAGUACGGUCGCAAAGAUUA
Molecule: ribosomal RNA, 374 nt
Filed under: uncultured organism
Description: partial 16S ribosomal RNA
Rfam family: Bacterial small subunit ribosomal RNA
Source: RNAcentral